Molecule: long non-coding RNA, 1249 nt
Organism: Coregonus clupeaformis (lake whitefish)
Lineage: Eukaryota; Metazoa; Chordata; Actinopteri; Salmoniformes; Salmonidae
Exons: 3
Source: RefSeq, a predicted model, not a curated record
GUCAGUAUAGAAAUAUAGCAUUUAGAAGAGACAUGAUGCCCAGGGACAGGUCAGUAUAGAAAUAUAGCAUGUAGAAGAGACAUGAUGCCCAGGGACAGGUCAGUAUAGAAAUAUAGCAUUUAGAAGAGACAUGAUGCCCAGGGACAGGUCAGUAUAGAAAUAUAGCAUGUAGAAGAGACAUGAUGCCCAGGGACAGGUCAGUAUAGAAAUAUAGCAUUUAGAAGAGACAUGAUGCCCAGGGACAGGUCAGUAUAGAAAUAUAGAAGAGACAUGAUGCCCAGGGACAGGUCAGUAUAGAAAUAUAGCAUGUAGAAGAGACAUGAUGCCCAGGGACAGGUCAGUAUAGAAAUAUAGCAUGUAGAAGAGACAUGAUGCCCAGGGACAGGUCAGUAUAGAAAUAUAGCAUGUAGAAGAGACAUGAUGCCCAGGGACAGGUCAGUAUAGAAAUAUAGCAUGUAGAAGAGACAUGAUGCCCAGGGACAGGUCAGUAUAGAAAUAUAGCAUUUAGAAGAGACAUGAUGCCCAGGGACAGGUCAGUAUAGAAAUAUAGAAGAGACAUGAUGCCCAGGGACAGGUCAGUAUAGAAAUAUAGCAUGUAGAAGAGACAUGAUGCCCAGGGACAGGUCAGUAUAGAAAUAUAGCAUGUAGAAGAGACAUGAUGCCCAGGGACAGGUCAGUAUAGAAAUAUAGCAUUUAGAAGAGACAUGAUGCCCAGGGACAGGUCAGUAUAGAAAUAUAGCAUGUAGAAGAGACAUGAUGCCCAGGGACAGGUCAGUAUAGAAAUAUAGCAUUUAGAAGAGACAUGAUGCCCAGGGACAGGUCAGUAUAGAAAUAUAGCAUUUAGAAGAGACAUGAUGCCCAGGGACAGGUCAGUAUAGAAAUAUAGCAUGUAGAAGAGACAUGAUGCCCAGGGACAGGUCAGUAUAGAAAUAUAGCAUGUAGAAGAGACAUGAUGCCCAGGGACAGGUCAGUAUAGAAAUAUAGCAUGUAGAAGAGACAUGAUGCCCAGGGACAGGUCAGUAUAGAAAUAUAGCAUUUAGAAGAGACAUGAUGCCCAGGGACAGGUCAGUAUAGAAAUAUAGCAUGUAGAAGAGACAUGAUGCCCAGGGACAGGUCAGUAUAGAAAUAUAGCAUGUAGAAGAGACAUGAUGCCCAGGGACAGGUCAGUAUAGAAAUAUAGCAUGUAGAAGAGACAUGAUGCCCAGGGACAGGUCAGUAUAGAAAUAUAGCAUGUAGAAGAGACAUGAUG